RNAcentral lists this long non-coding RNA (3819 nucleotides) under Homo sapiens (human). RNAcentral describes it as "non-protein coding BAIAP2-DT:24". Lineage: Eukaryota; Metazoa; Chordata; Mammalia; Primates; Hominidae. The record is from RNAcentral.
ACUUCGGGGCGGGCGGCCCGCCGGGUCGCGGCCUGGCGCUGCGGGGCGGGGAGCGGCUCGGACGCAGGACGCCGCGGGCCGGGCUUACAGGUGGGAGAGGCCCCGACCCCGCCGCUUCGCAGGCCAGCUUCCUGCUGUGUUCCCUGCACCCACCGAUCUCACACGCAGCCCUAGGACAGACGUCCACUGGCCUGAGUUGGGUCUGGGGCCAACACGGAGCAGGUGGGGGUAGAGCAGCUCUGCUCGCCUGGAGGAAAGUUGAAUGGCUGGAACCAAGAUGACAGAUGGAGGCUGGCAGGCAAACACGGGAGGCCUCCUCACUCCAAGAGGGGAGUCAGCCUGGGGACAGUUCUUCUCCAGGCCCUGCUGCUCCCAUCAGCUGCAACACAGGAGAGGUAGGCUUCUCCGGAAAAGCUCCCACGGUCCUGGAUCCCGCUCCACCUUCUAGAAGCUCCCAGCGUUACUUCCUGAGCUGGCCUGCACAUCGUUGCGCUACUCCCGUCCAAGGGGGGACAUAUUCGGUGACCGACUCAGAACGCAGCCUGCUUCCCGGGUGGCCAGUGGCUCAGCAGUCUCGGUGCCUGAGCCUGCUCCCUCCGCCCGGCGGCUGGGCAGGUGGCUGAAUGCGGGCUGGAGGCCUUCCCUGAGAAGACGGUUAUCCAUGCUGUACAUGGAAGUGACCAGCUCGGCACCUGAGGAGACACACCGCGGCCGAUGACAGGCGCAGAGCAGGACGUGGUGAGGUCCUCAUACCUAGGAAUGCAGAACAAGGGCAAGAAACUCGGUGCCCGCCUGGCAUCUGCCCUGCACCAGUGGCCUCCAGGAAGUUCUCCACCAAGGAUGUUCCCCAGGCACUCUGUGCUCGCCUUCACCAGCGUCCUGUGAGGUCUUUCACACUGAUGGGGAAGCCUUUCUAAAGGGUAUUAGGGGGCUUGGGGGCUGGGGGUGCUGAGUACCAAGGGUCCCAGGAAGAGACAGGCCAGGCUUAUGGGCUGGGCAUCCAGAGAUCGCCCUGACGCCAGCUCCAGGUGGAGUUAGGAGGGCACUCUUGUCCCGACGCAUUUACAGACCACUCCCUCUUCUUGUUCCCCUCGACUCUGAGAGUGUGGUGGGGUAGCUGUGGAACCUGACUGCUUGCCUGAAGGUUGGGCAGCGUGGCUAGAAAUUGCGGCCCAGACCUGGGAUCUCACCCACACCUCUAUGAGACGUCCUGAAGGAAACCAUCGACUGAGCGGAGAGGCUUCGCCUUGCCCGCCUCCUCCCAGGAAGGAAGAGCGGAAGAGGCGUCGCCAGCCACCGAGACUGCCAGCCACCACCCCCUCCCAGACUCUCUGUCCCCACCCCAGACCAGGGUCACCUUCUUCCUGCACUGGGGGUGGGGUGCGGUAGGUUUCGCAAUCCAGACUGUGGGGUGGGGGUGGGAGCAGGUGUGUGUAAAUGAGCAGCUCGUCAGGAGUCACUGAGAAGGAGGCAGAUGGAGCUGGUACCCAGCAGGUCUCCUCUCAUAAGCGUCAACCCUCGCCUGGGCGGGCUGGGGGAUCCUCAGCACCCCAGCUCUGAGCCAGGGGUCUGCAACCCGGGCACCAGCGAUGGGCCCUCAUGCACACAGGGCGCCGAGCGGGGCCGGAGGCAAGAGUGACUUCAGACAGGAACCCGACGCCACAGCCGGUGACGCGGACCCUGGGUCAGCCAGCACGAUGGGCCGCUGGGGAGAGGAGGGCUGGAGGCAGAGAGUGUAAGUGUGCAGCCUUCAUCAGCUUAUUUUUAGUCGCGUUAUGUAAGUGGCUUCAUCUCAACGUCACAUGGGGGGGGGUCUCAGAUUUAAUUACAGGAUGACAGCCUUUGCUUUUCAAGCAAGCUGUUCUCCUGGCAAGCCAGGCGAAGGAUUGGGGAGUUUUGCUAAACAGAAGGAGCCCUUUCUGAGGUGACCACCCGUCAAAACUUGAACCCGCUUCCACCUCCGUCUCCCUCUUCCCGACCAGCCUCACCCAGCCUCGGCUGAAUGUGGCCUGAGAGUAGCCACUUGUCCGCAAUCACAGGGACGUUUUAUGCCUGUCAAGGGAGCUUCCUCUCUCCUCUUCCUCCCCCUCCCACCUUCUGCCUGGCAGCUUUGCCUUCUCUCCAAGAGAAGGGUCCACCCAAUCAGAACUCCUCUUCCUUUUCAUUCCUGGAUUAAAGCACUUGUAAUCAGUAACCAGAAAGUUCCAGAGCGGGAGAGACCGGAAGGCACUGGAGUGCUAUCGGACGGGUGUCUGGGGCAGAGCCAGGAGGGCGAGCCUCUUCUCUCCCCGCCUGCCCUUGCUCACUUCCCCCUCCAUGCCAGGUGCUGUGGGAGCAGCUGGGCCUGGCCGGGGUCGGCGGGUGAAGCUAUCCGCAUGGUGUCUGGAGCACCGUUUCUUUGCUUCCUGGAUGGGCUGGAUGGGCUCCCGUGUUCUUCACCAAUGGCAGCGUUACCAGCACCAAUGGCAGCGUUACCAGCAAGAAGGCAAAGGCAGGAGCACAUCGAGGGUGGGAGCCAGGGCUGUGGGGUCAGGAGUCCCGCUCCUUGCCGCGGGAAGCCUGGCUCAGCCACCUCCAGCACACUUCGGCUUUGUCCAGCAUAAAAGGCAGAGCGACGUUUUCACUGCAGGCUGUUUCCCACCAGGGCAAGUGGGACAGGGCGAGUGCUGACGUCUGCAGGCAUGGUGUGCAUUUAGGGGUGGGCGGCACCGAGGGGGCAUCAUUUGGCAUAGGCGGGCCCGGGGGCCACUGGGCUAGAUGACUGGCUGGUUGCUGGGGGCAGGUGUCACAGCCUCUCUGAGCACCCUCUAAGUGGAGGACAGAACAUUGUUGGGAGGAGUCCAGGCAUAAAGUGACAUAAACAGCGCAGAGAAUGGGACCAGCGCACCUGAGAGGUGAUCAUUAGCCUCAGCAACUGGAUGGGACAUUCCGAAGAGCUCCCAGCCAACACAGAUGGUCACUCCAGAGGCUGACAUUUAAAAGGAAGGGGCCCGGCCGGGCACAGUGGCUCACGCCUGUAAUCACAACACUUUGGGAGGCUGAGGCGGGCAGAUCAACUGGGGUCAGGAGUUCAAAACCAGCCUGGCCAACAUGGUGAAACCGCAUCUCUGCUGAAAAUACAAAAAAUUAGCCAGGCAUGGUGGUGGGCACCUGUAAUCCCAGCUACUCAGGAGGCUGAGGUAGGAGGAUCGCUUGAACCCAGGAAGUAGAGGUUGCAGUGAGCCGAGAUUGUGCCAUUGCACUCCAGCCUGGGCGACAAGCGAAACUUCGUCUCAAAAUAAAUAAAAGUAAGGGGCACAGGGAGGGGGCCCCAGCUCGUGCCCCUUCUGUGUGGGCUGCACAUGGUGACUUCCUUCCAGAGAGCACAGAGUGGGAGGUAGGCAAGGCGUCUCCACAGUGGAGAGCCCGACCCACUGUCUCAGCCCAGAGGUCAAGGCUGGCACCAUCACCGAGAGGUCACACGGGCAGAUGUGACAGGGCGCUUCACCACUGGGCUCUUCCUCCCAGACCCAUAACCCUUGUCUUAGUAUUAGAAAAACACUGGCAGACCGGGCGCAGUGGCUUACACCUGUAAUCGCAGCAUUUUGGGAGGCCGAGGUGGGAAGAUUGUUCAAGAGCAGUCUGGGCAACAUGGUGAGACCCCAUCUCUACAAAAAAAAUUUUUUUUUUAAUUAGCCAGGCGUGAUGGCACAUGCCUGUGGUCCUAGCCACUAGAGGCUGAGGUGGGAGGAUCACUGGAGCCCAGGAGGUCAAGGCUGCAGUGAGCUGUGAUCACACCACUGCACUCCAGCCUUGGCGACAAACCAAGACCCUGUCUCG